AAAUACAAACUGGAACCUUCUAUGUAGUAAAGGGAGGCACGCGAGACUUAUUAGGGAAAGAAACUGCGAUAGCUUUAAAAGUACUAAAGCUCGGGUUAGAAGUCAAUUCGACUUCAGGGACAAAGACAAAUUAAUGAAAGAAAAGGGAAAGGAACACGAGGACAGAAAAAGGAAAGCUGAAGAAAUAGAUAUAGGUAUUGGUGAGAAAGUAUACGUAAAGAAUAUGGUGAAGGAAAAUAAACUUACUACGAAUUUCAACCCGACUCCCCAUACUGUUGUAAAUUGUAAAGGAUCUGAUUACAGCGUAAGGAAUGACGAAACGGGACAAGAAUUAAGAAGGAAUAUCAUCCAUCUCAAACGUGUGGAAGGACAAUGGAAAGUAUGUGAGGACAAAUCUGAUCAGGAGAUAAUAAGCGGAUGUGAUUCAAAUAGUGACUAAAUACCUACCUUAAUAAUUUAUCGUAAUCAUUUUUUAUUCAAAUUGCUAAAGACUAAUCGGUUAAAAGAAAAAGAGAGAAAUUCGAAUUAUUCAUUAUGUUAGUAUAUAAGAAUGUUAUGUCGUUUUGUUUAUAUAUACAUGUACCUAUUGGACUCGCGUUAAAUAAUUAUUUCACAGGUACCUAUUAAUAAUUUGAUUAACAUAGAUUUGAUUUUGUUAAAAAAGGGAGAGAUGUGACGUAUUACAAAUAAAAUAUAGACGUGGGCGCACGGCCGGGGGUGGAGAGUAGUUGCCAUGCGGCAGUGAGACUGAGAGGACGUGCGGCCACGGCUAGUUGGGAACCAAAA
Manduca sexta (tobacco hornworm) is the source of this 786-nucleotide long non-coding RNA. RefSeq lists it as uncharacterized. The record is from RefSeq and is a predicted model, not a curated record. NCBI's taxonomy places the organism in Eukaryota, Metazoa, Arthropoda, Insecta, Lepidoptera, Sphingidae. The transcript is spliced from 2 exons.